GUACAGAACACAAGAUUUAGAUGAACUGAAAUAUCAGGUAAAAUAAAAUAAAAUCCAAUCUCAGAAAACAAAUCAAAAUAUUAAGGAUCCCUGAAGUAUUAAUCCUACUGAGAUCUCACUGGACUCAAGUCAUAGUAUAGUGAGGCAUUCGCGUGACCCUACUGAUUCACCUCAGGAAACUCCUGGGACCCAAGUGGCUGCAUGCAACACUCAGGAAGUGAUAACUAGUUUAUCUAAAACUCCCUUAAUUAGGCUUUCAAGCCAAGCUUUUGAUAUGCAUCUUCCUCCCUGCCUGUCAUUUUUAAGUUUUCCUAGGACAGUUUGCACUGAGAGCUGUUGUUAAGUUGGGUUUCUGGCACCACAGCUAGUCUGGGUUCAUGGGGAUGCAGAGAUGGCUUAUGAGGUGGGUCCAAAGGGUGCCUUCACCUUGCCUGGAGAUAUACAAAACCCCAGAAAUGGAGUCUCUGCUCGGGACACACAGGGGGCUUCAGAGGAUCCUUAUGAAAGACGAGUUAAAAAAUGUCAGGUAGGACAGGUGCAGGGAGACAGGGGCUGAGUCUGACUGGCUCUCGGUCCUGCACCACUGACUCCAUGGACAUCGAUGGGAGGACUGGGGACAGGACAGGCGGGGCAGAGGAUGGGAAGGAAAGGGCAGACAGCUAAUGCGUUUCAUUAACAAGUAAGAUAAAUCAGAGACUUAAAAGAGAUUAAAGACCAAUCAGAAUAAUUUGGCAACUUUAAUUCUUAGGAAGAUCAAAGUUCCCUCCAAACCUAAUUUGAUGUUUCAUUCCUAGAAGCAAAGACCAGCAUGGCACAGUAUCACUCCAGAGGAAUUAAGGAAGAGCCUUGGGGCCGCUUCCCUCACAUUCAUUUGAAGAAUGGACACCUCCCUACCUCAGAAUGCUUUAGGGAGGGACUGCUACCCUUACAUGGUUCCUUAUUAAAUUUGAAAAGUGCCUCAAAGUUUGGACACCAGAAAGACACCCCAAAAACAUGUGUCUAAACGGCAACUUCAGGUUAAUAUGACUAAAGCAGUUACAUUGUGAGAAGUGCUGAAGUAUGUGAUGUCUUCCCCGGCACAGGAGUGGCCACAGCUCCUCACCAAAUAGUGUAGCCACCAUCUGAGCCACCCAUGAAGAAGUUUCCCUUGCGUUGAGUUACAAGGACGUUGGCUCCCUGCAUGACUGCAAGCUGAGCAGCGUUGGGAGGGCAUCCAGGAGGUGGAGGCUGGAAGGAAAGGACAAGGUACAGUGGGCACAGGGAAAGAACACAGGGAAGCAGACACUGCGUAAGAAGGUGGCAGUGUGCCAACUACUAACUUUUAUUUCUGUGGGCAGUGGGGGAGGUCAACCCAGGAACUCAGGAACUCUCACUAAACUGGUUCCUGCUAUGUAGCCCAAGCUGACAUUAAACUCAAAGGAAGUCUCUUGC
This 1431-nucleotide long non-coding RNA is filed under the name Rattus norvegicus (Norway rat). RNAcentral's name for it is "long non-coding RNA NONRATT027325". The record is from RNAcentral. Lineage: Eukaryota; Metazoa; Chordata; Mammalia; Rodentia; Muridae.